Molecule: long non-coding RNA, 824 nt
Organism: Myotis daubentonii (Daubenton's bat)
Lineage: Eukaryota; Metazoa; Chordata; Mammalia; Chiroptera; Vespertilionidae
Exons: 2
Source: RefSeq, a predicted model, not a curated record
GCUUGACACACACGCAAACGUAAAGGUCCAAAGCGGAGCUUUGGUCCUGCCCCCACACCUGCUCCUCCCCCCUCUGGAGAGGGCACACUGUCCUUCCACGUGGGGGACCCCACAUCCGAGGGCAGCCGCCGCCCGGGACCACCGACUUGGAUGCCGCGCUCUGCAGACCUGCCCGCCUGCCUCCCUCCAGGCAGCCCCCACGCUGCCAAGCGGCCACACCUUUUCUGAAACAUCAGUGUUUGUUUUAGCACCUGUCCUACUAGCACCGCCCAUCUUAGGCGUUAAGGAAGGACUGAAAAGAAAGGGACCUUCUCUUUCCUGCUCUGUGAAUGUUAUAAUUUCAGCACAAUCCAAGGAACACAUCCGCAUACUGCACAGAAGUAGAUGGCCUUCAGAUUGAAGGCUGGUUCCCAGGAAGCCUGCACCAGCAGAGAAGGCACCAUGCGCCAGUGUCUCUGAGCUGUGGAUGGACUGUGGUUUCCACCUCCCUCAUCCAGGGGACAAGCUGGCGAAGCCUCCUGAUUUCAGAGUGACCGGUGACGUAGCUCAGGCAGAGCAGAUGGUCUUCAAUAGCAUUCGAUACAGAUUUAAUGGUGGGGUUGGGGAAAAAAUAAAAUUACUUCCACAAAGUGGCUCGGCUGAAGUGGCAUUAUGUGUACGAUGAUAGGACUUUGAUUUUGCUAUUUUGUUAAAUAGAUAUCUAAUUGAAGAAUUUAAAUGUGAGUGCCCUGCCUAGGGGGUGUCAGUAGCUGACUGUAAGAAGGGAUUUGGUUGGCCUUUAUCCUUGGUUCCUGGGAGGUAAAUAAACUUUUGGAAUUUCCCGA